Long non-coding RNA from Hevea brasiliensis (rubber tree), 2248 nucleotides. RefSeq lists it as uncharacterized. The record is from RefSeq and is a predicted model, not a curated record. NCBI's taxonomy places the organism in Eukaryota, Viridiplantae, Streptophyta, Magnoliopsida, Malpighiales, Euphorbiaceae. The transcript has 2 exons.
UCAACUACAAUAUGUCACGGUCAAUAGAACAAGAAGCAUGGCUUUUUGGGCAAUUAUAGAGGUUUGGUUAGAGAAGAAAUUAGGGACUCGAGUGGCCCAAUGCAAUGGUUGAAAUUAGCUUAAGAUCUCUCUCUGUGCCAACUACUUAGAGCCCUCCGUCGAUCUAAUGAUGAGGACUCAGGAUAUGGGCUUGAUACAAGGAGACGAUUAAUAUUUAUCACAAAUUAUUUUUGUAAAAUUAUGGCAUACGCCCAGCAUAGCGUGAUGAAGUUGAACUCUUAACAACAAUGUGAGUCUCACAUGUUGGUAGACCUAAUUAUUGUUUGUUAGAAGCUUACUAAUCCCCCUAACCCAACUUUUUUUUCUCUAGUUUUAGUUUUUCUCUCCUGUUUCUUGCCGUUUAGUGGUCACCUCUGCCCCUUCUGGGUAGGGGUGGCCUUCUCCUUCCUACCCAGAUGUGGGUUUCCCUCUCCCACAUUUGGGUGGGUUGUGUAUAGUUAUUUUUUGGGUUGUUUUGCAGGUUGGAACUUCAUGGUUGAGGGUGUAUGUUUGAACCUACUAUGUUAGGUUAGUGUUCUGUGAUCUGUAGGAAAGGGAUGUCUCGGAAACGCUCAUGGAGUUGCUCUUGUAACUCUCGGUCUCUUAAAGCCUGCAAGGCCUAAACUCACCCUCCUUCUUUGUUUUCGGUGACCAUGGCCUGCUUUCGUUUUUUACAGGAGCUGCUAGCAUAAAUCCUUCUCUGAUCAGGGGAUCUUUUGCUGGGACAUCCUUCAGGAGAUUUGGCCAAGUCUAGUCCUUUGCGGUGCACCAAGCUUGGUGCUUGUUUCUUCCCAACAGAAGGGUCUACAACUCCUCUGGUUUUGGUGCUCAACCCAGUGCGUCAUGGUUUUGAUUGUGUCCUAGCUUGAUGGCAAUUCCUUGAGGUGUAGUUUGUGAGGUUUCUUUAUUCAGGCGAUGUAGCCAUAUCUCAUCCCCAUUGGUGCUUCAUGAGGGGAUCUUUCUCCCCGCCGGCGUUGUGGUUUGUCCGUAUGUGGCGCUUUGAGCCUCGUCCUGUAGGAGGUGUUGGUUUCUCUUCCGGGUAUGGGUUCGGAUAUGGAGAUACAGAGUUAGGGUUUUCUUUUGGGUUGGGCUUACUUGUACGUUGGGGUUGGUUAAGUUCAAGCUUUGGCCAUAGAGUUUUCUUUGUACUGGGCUUAGAAGUCUUCCUUUAAUGAAUGAAAUCUAUCUUAUGGGAAAAAAAAUUAUUAUUUGUUAGAUUAAAAUUAUUUUUUUUUUAAAUAAAAACUUGAAAAAUUUCAACAAUAACAAGAAAUUAUAGUAACUAUUCAAAUAAUAAUUUUUAAAUUUAAGAUUUAAAAAUAUUGUUAUUAGUCAAAUAAAAUAUUUUUAAAUUUUAUAAAUGAGUUAGUAUAUUAAAUAAAUGAGCUAAAUGAAAUAAGUAGAAAGAGAAAAACAAAUGGCUUGAUAUCGUAGUGGUUGAUAAUAAAUAAAAUAUUUUAAAAAUAAUUACUUUCAAAUAAUAUAUAUUUCGUGCAUUUUGGCAAUGGUAAAUAGUAUUUCUCGGAAUAAUCCCUUCAAGAUGCAAAUGAAUUUAUUUUCCCUACGACAGCGUUUGGUGAAGAUCGGGCAUCAGGUUCUUUGCCUAAGUUUUGCAGACGACGACGUUUUAGCUUUAAUCUCCUUUCGUCUGGAUUCAAAAUCUAAUUUGCCUUGCGGUCAACUAAUCAAAUGGCGAGGAUUGACAUUUGACCAGAACGUCCAGGUUUUGUUCUGGAAAUGGGUUUUUUUCCCUUGUGAAGAAGAUGAAAUGGCCAAAUGGGUAAAGCCAAAUUCUCAAUCCCCCAUUCAAUGAUUCAGAUGAGACCCACUUCAAGUUUCUCUCUCUCUCUCUCUCUCUCUCUCUUAGAUUUGUAAAUUUUUGCCGUUUGUUUAUGGAGACCAGCUUUUCCUUUAUUUCUCUUUUCCUUUACUGUUGCUGCUGUUCUUAUAUUAUAAAUCACAUGCAGCUAGGAACAUUCUAAAGCAUAUGUUCCUUGCACUUUAUCAAAAUCGGCUGAUCAAUUUUUUUUGUGCCUUGAGAUGAAGGGUGACUGGUCAUGGUCCAAGCAAUACAACCACAACUUGAAUGUGUUGUUAAUGUGCUGAUUCUCUUCUUUUUUAUCCUCCAAUUAAAGUAAAAGAGCUGAAUGAGUUGUUGCUUUCUAUUUAUCAAAUACUUCGUAUGGUAAAUCAUCAGAAUAUUUAUGCA